RNAcentral lists this ribosomal RNA (269 nucleotides) under uncultured Streptococcaceae bacterium. RNAcentral's name for it is "partial 16S ribosomal RNA". It matches the Rfam family "Bacterial small subunit ribosomal RNA", at positions 505 to 774 of the family's 1533-position model. The record is from RNAcentral. Lineage: Bacteria; Bacillati; Bacillota; Bacilli; Lactobacillales; Streptococcaceae.
GUGCCAGCAGCCGCGGUAAUACGUAGGUCCCGAGCGUUGUCCGGAUUUAUUGGGCGUAAAGCGAGCGCAGGCGGUUAGAUAAGUCUGAAGUUAAAGGCUGUGGCUUAACCAUAGUACGCUUUGGAAACUGUUUAACUUGAGUGCAAGAGGGGAGAGUGGAAUUCCAUGUGUAGCGGUGAAAUGCGUAGAUAUAUGGAGGAACACCGGUGGCGAAAGCGGCUCUCUGGCUUGUAACUGACGCUGAGGCUCGAAAGCGUGGGGAGCAAACA